GCCUAGUUAGCUUAGUUGGUAGUGCGUCUGCCUUGUAAGCGCUAGGCCGCGGGUUCGAUUCCCGCACGGGACG
This 73-nucleotide transfer RNA is filed under the name Diaphorina citri (Asian citrus psyllid). It matches the Rfam family "tRNA". From Rfam's summary of the family: Transfer RNA (tRNA) molecules are approximately 80 nucleotides in length. Their secondary structure includes four short double-helical elements and three loops (D, anti-codon, and T loops). The record is from Rfam by way of RNAcentral. Lineage: Eukaryota; Metazoa; Arthropoda; Insecta; Hemiptera; Psyllidae.